Molecule: transfer RNA, 70 nt
Filed under: Phrynosoma platyrhinos (Desert horned lizard)
Lineage: Eukaryota; Metazoa; Chordata; Lepidosauria; Squamata; Phrynosomatidae
Description: tRNA-OTHER
Source: RNAcentral
GCCUGUGUAGUGCAGUGGUUUGAGCACUGGACUUCCACUCUGGAGACCAGGGUUCAAAUUCCCAUAUGUC